RNAcentral lists this unclassified non-coding RNA (212 nucleotides) under plant metagenome. RNAcentral describes it as "partial contains small subunit ribosomal RNA, internal transcribed spacer 1, and 5.8S ribosomal RNA". The record is from RNAcentral.
UUUCCGUAGGUGAACCUGCGGAAGGAUCAUUCAUAAUAAGUGUUUUAUGGCACUUUUUUAAAUCCAUAUCCACCUUGUGUGCAAUGUCAGGGUGAUUUUUCUCUCGAGAGGAUCAACCCCAAACAUCAACUAUAUCUCAACUCUUUGUCUGAAAAAUAUUAUGAAUAAAACAAUUCAAAAUACAACUUUCAACAACGGAUCUCUUGGCUCUC